RNAcentral lists this long non-coding RNA (1547 nucleotides) under Ananas comosus (pineapple). RNAcentral's name for it is "long non-coding RNA (ACOM_LNC001238)". The record is from RNAcentral. Lineage: Eukaryota; Viridiplantae; Streptophyta; Magnoliopsida; Poales; Bromeliaceae.
UAUUAUUUUAUUAUUUUAUUAUUUUUAUUUAUUUUUUUCAGGAAAACUAUAAAUACCCUCACGGUGGUUUCACUUUUUCUCACUUUAGUACUCUGUAGUUUAAAGUGUAUCAAGUUAGUACCAUGUGGUUUCACACUUUCUCACUUUAGUACCCUGUGGUUUAAAGUUAUCAAGUUAGUACAAUGUGAUUUCACACUUUCUCAUUUUAGUACCAUGUGAUUUAAUAUUUUAUUAAGAGAAAAUAAAACCACAGAAUACUAACUUGAUAUAAAAAUAAAAUCACAUAGUUCUAACUUGAUACAAAUAUAAAACCACAUAGUACUAAUUUGAUACAUUUUAAACCACAGGGUACUAAAAUAAAAAAAGUAUGAAACCACAGAAUACUAACUUAAUACACUUUAAACUAUAAUGUACUAAAAUAAAAAGUGCGAAAUUACAGGGUGUUUUUUAAGUCUUUCCUUUUUUUUUUUUUUCAGUUGUUGUGGUGGGUUACGUGGGUACGAAGGUUGUGUGGGUCGGUGGUUUUAAUCGCUUUUCUUCGCCAACGCUCGACGCUACUUUUUAUCUUAUUAAAGAUUUCGUUUGAAAUGGUAGAAAUUUUAUAUUAUAUAUAAUAUAAUAAAAUAUUUAUAUUUAUUUUUAACUUAUAUAUAUUUAUAUUUACUAGUUGAGUGUAAAUACAAUUAUACGUAAUAAUUAUUUUAAUUUAUUUUAAAUUAAUAUAAUUUUUUAUAUUAUAUUUAUUUAAAAAGUUAUAAUAAAAAUUAUAAUUUAUAAAUGGCUAAAUUACAAAAAAAUUUCUGUCAAAAUUCGAUUUUUCAUUUUCCCUCCUAUCAUUUAAAAACCUACACCUUGCCCCCUUAUAAAAUAAAAAAUGCUCAUAGGGGUACGGUGUGAACUGAUAAAAUGAUCAUUUUGCCCCUCAUUUUUUUGUCACUCAUCAUGUUUGCAGAAGAGAACACUGAGGACAUUUUUGGCAUAAAAAAUAUAUAAUAAUAUUUUAUAAACGAAACCCUAACGGAUUACUAACGGUAAGGGGUGAAGUGAAUAUUUUCAUUUUAAAAGGGGAAAAAUGUAGUUUUUUAAAUGAUAGGAAGGAAAAGUGAAAAAUCGAAUUUUGACGGGAGAAUUUUAUGUAUUUUAACUUUUAUAAAUUUAUAUGUUAUAUUUUAUUAGAAAAUAUAUGUAAUAUUCUAUAUUAUUAUUUUUAUAUCAAAAAUUAAAUUUAAUUCAUGAUUUAAAUUUAAAUUUAAAUUUAAAUGUAAAAUAGAUUAAUAGAAAUGCUAUUUUUUAACGAAUUGAUCAUAACCGUUUAUUUUUAUUUGAAUAAUUUUUAAUAAAUUGAUUAUAAAUAUUCGUAUUGAAUUUAUAGAUAAAUAUGAAUGUUGUUUUUUAACAUAUUGAUCAUAAUCGUUCAUUUUUAUUUGAGAUAUUUUUUAAUAAAUUGAUCAUAACUGUUCGUAGAUAAUAUUCUCUUAUUCUUUUUUGAUUCCGUCUUACAAUAACAGCAAAAUAAAAAAUAUAUAUUUUCUUGGUAUUUAAUCUCA